AUGGAAGCAAAGAAGUAUCUUUUCUACUUUAGGUCCUUCGUGAUAAAAGACGGGUCUGAGAUAAGUUUUUUGGAGGACAACUGGCUAGACAAUGCCAGUCCUCGAGAACAAUACCCGGCCUUAUACCGGUUUGUUCGCGAUAAGAAUGCAACUCUUGUGCAAGUGUUCAGUUCAUCCCCGCCCGAUAUUUCUUUCAGGCGGGAUUUGAUUGGCCCCUGUCUUAUGUCAUGGAAAAAUCUAUUGUCCGAACUAGAUUCGAUUAACCUGACACAAGGACGAGAUGUGUUUUGGUGGAAUCUCACAACAUUUGGGUCCUUUAUAGUCAGCUCGAUGUAUGGUGCGCUCACGCAUUCUAAGGUCCUAGUGGAUAAUAACAAGAAAUAUGGAGAUCCAAGAUUCCACUAA
This 405-nucleotide ribosomal RNA is filed under the name Triticum aestivum (bread wheat). RNAcentral describes it as "partial small subunit ribosomal RNA". The record is from RNAcentral. Lineage: Eukaryota; Viridiplantae; Streptophyta; Magnoliopsida; Poales; Poaceae.